AGUGAACGCUGGCGGCAGGCCUAACACAUGCAAGUCGAGCGGCAGCGCGGGGGCAACCCUGGCGGCGAGCGGCGGACGGGUGAGGAAUUCGUCGGAAUCUGCCUUUUUGUGGGGGAUAACGUAGGGAAACUUACGCUAAUACCGCAUACGUCCUACGGGAGAAAGUGGGGGACCGCAAGGCCUCACGCAGAAAGAUGAGCCGACGACCGAUUAGCUAGUUGGUGGGGUAAAGGCCCACCAAGGCGACGAUCGGUAGCUGGUCUGAGAGGAUGAUCAGCCACACUGGGACUGAGACACGGCCCAGACUCCUACGGGAGGCAGCAGUGGGGAAUAUUGGACAAUGGGCACAAGCCUGAUCCAGCCAUGCCGCGUGUGUGAAGAAGGCCUUCGGGUUGUAAAGCACUUUUGUCCGGAAGAAAUCCCUGGAGCUAAUACCUUCGGGGGAUGACGGUACCGGAAGAAUAAGCACCGGCUAACUUCGUG
RNAcentral lists this ribosomal RNA (483 nucleotides) under uncultured bacterium. RNAcentral's name for it is "partial 16S ribosomal RNA". It matches the Rfam family "Bacterial small subunit ribosomal RNA", at positions 29 to 507 of the family's 1533-position model. The record is from RNAcentral.